RNAcentral lists this ribosomal RNA (440 nucleotides) under Acinetobacter baumannii. Its description in RNAcentral is "bacterial SSU rRNA". It matches the Rfam family "Bacterial small subunit ribosomal RNA", at positions 30 to 470 of the family's 1533-position model. The record is from RNAcentral. Lineage: Bacteria; Pseudomonadati; Pseudomonadota; Gammaproteobacteria; Moraxellales; Moraxellaceae.
AUUGAACGCUGGCGGCAGGCUUAACACAUGCAAGUCGAGCGGAGAUGAGGUGCUUGCACCUUAUCUUAGCGGCGGACGGGUGAGUAAUGCUUAGGAAUCUGCCUAUUAGUGGGGGACAACAUUCCGAAAGGAAUGCUAAUACCGCAUACGUCCUACGGGAGAAAGCAGGGGAUCUUCGGACCUUGCGCUAAUAGAUGAGCCUAAGUCGGAUUAGCUAGUUGGUGGGGUAAAGGCCUACCAAGGCGACGAUCUGUAGCGGGUCUGAGAGGAUGAUCCGCCACACUGGGACUGAGACACGGCCCAGACUCCUACGGGAGGCAGCAGUGGGGAAUAUUGGACAAUGGGGGGAACCCUGAUCCAGCCAUGCCGCGUGUGUGAAGAAGGCCUUAUGGUUGUAAAGCACUUUAAGCGAGGAGGAGGCUACUGAGACUAAUACUCUG